UGGGGAAUAUUGCACAAUGGGCGCAAGCCUGAUGCAGCCAUGCCGCGUGUAUGAAGAAGGCCUUCGGGUUGUAAAGUACUUUCAGCGGGGAGGAAGGGAGUAAAGUUAAUACCUUUGCUCAUUGACGUUACCCGCAGAAGAAGCACCGGCUAACUUCGUGCCAGCAGCCGCGGUAAUACGGAGGGUGCAAGCGUUAAUCGGAAUUACUGGGCGUAAAGCGCACGCAGGCGGUUUGUUAAGUCAGAUGUGAAAUCCCCGGGCUCAACCUGGGAACUGCAUCUGAUACUGGCAAGCUUGAGUCUCGUAGAGGGGGGUAGAAUUCCAGGUGUAGCGGUGAAAUGCGUAGAGAUCUGGAGGAAUACCGGUGGCGAAGGCGGCCCCCUGGACGAAAACUGACGCUCAGGUGCGAAAGCGUGGGGAGCAAACAGG
RNAcentral lists this ribosomal RNA (429 nucleotides) under Chloroflexota bacterium. RNAcentral's name for it is "Chloroflexi bacterium partial 16S ribosomal RNA". It matches the Rfam family "Bacterial small subunit ribosomal RNA", at positions 355 to 776 of the family's 1533-position model. Lineage: Bacteria; Bacillati; Chloroflexota. The record is from RNAcentral.